GAAAUGCGAUAAGUAGUGUGAAUUGCAGAAUUCAGUGAAUCAUCGAAUCUUUGAACGCACAUUGCGCUUCCUGGCAGUCCGGGAAGCAUGCCCGUUUCAGAAUCAUAAACCACCCUCAAUGUCGCUUGUGGACCUUGGACAUUGGACAGUUUGAACAACACUUUUCAGAUCAUAUCUGGAGAGUGCAAUUGUCUGAAAAUGAUUGUGCGCGCUCCAGUUUUUUGCUGGGUAGCUCUAAGGUGCAAUAAGAUUUCACGUCUAAUUGACUCUCACCUUGUGGGGGUAUCCAUUGCAUGGCAGGAGUUGUGUACUCCUCUAAUUAAACCAGGGCAUCUCCCUGGUUCAUGGUCUGAAAUCGGGCAAGAGAACCCGCUGAACUUAA
RNAcentral lists this unclassified non-coding RNA (382 nucleotides) under uncultured fungus. RNAcentral describes it as "sequence contains ITS1". The stretch from base 1 to 105 matches the Rfam family "5.8S ribosomal RNA", at positions 50 to 154 of the family's 154-position model. Lineage: Eukaryota; Fungi. The record is from RNAcentral.